CGUAUGCAACCUACCCAUAACUGGAGGAUAGCCCGAAGAAAUUCGGAUUAAUACUCCAUAGUAUAGUGAAGAGGCAUCUCUUUAUUAUUAAAACUCCGGUGGGUUAUGGAUGGGCAUGCGUUGCAUUAGCUAGUUGGUGAGGUAAUGGCUCACCAAGGCUACGAUGCAUAGGGGAUCUGAGAGGAUUAUCCCCCACACUGGUACUGAGACACGGACCAG
RNAcentral lists this ribosomal RNA (219 nucleotides) under uncultured bacterium. RNAcentral describes it as "partial 16S ribosomal RNA". It matches the Rfam family "Bacterial small subunit ribosomal RNA", at positions 116 to 334 of the family's 1533-position model. The record is from RNAcentral.